RNAcentral lists this ribosomal RNA (793 nucleotides) under uncultured bacterium. RNAcentral describes it as "bacterial SSU rRNA". It matches the Rfam family "Bacterial small subunit ribosomal RNA", at positions 8 to 796 of the family's 1533-position model. The record is from RNAcentral.
AGAGUUUGAUCCUGGCUCAGAUUGAACGCUGGCGGCAGGCCUAACACAUGCAAGUCGAGCGGUAGAGAGAAGCUUGCUUCUCUUGAGAGCGGCGGACGGGUGAGUAAUGCCUAGGAAUCUGCCUAGUGGUGGGGGAUAACGUUCGGAAACGGACGCUAAUACCGCAUACGUCCUACGGGAGAAAGCGGGGGACCUUCGGGCCUCGCGCCAUUAGAUGAGCCUAGGUCGGAUUAGCUAGUUGGUGAGGUAAUGGCUCACCAAGGCGACGAUCCGUAACUGGUCUGAGAGGAUGAUCAGUCACACUGGAACUGAGACACGGUCCAGACUCCUACGGGAGGCAGCAGUGGGGAAUAUUGGACAAUGGGCGAAAGCCUGAUCCAGCCAUGCCGCGUGUGUGAAGAAGGUCUUCGGAUUGUAAAGCACUUUAAGUUGGGAGGAAGGGUAGUAACUUAAUACGUUGCUACUUUGACGUUACCGACAGAAUAAGCACCGGCUAACUUCGUGCCAGCAGCCGCGGUAAUACGAAGGGUGCAAGCGUUAAUCGGAAUUACUGGGCGUAAAGCGCGCGUAGGUGGUUCAGUAAGUUGGAAGUGAAAUCCCCGGGCUCAACCUGGGAACUGCAUUUGUGACUGUAUAGCUAGAGUACGGUAGAGGGGGAUGGAAUUCCGCGUGUAGCAGUGAAAUGCGUAGAUAUGCGGAGGAACACCGAUGGCGAAGGCAAUCCCCUGGACCUGUACUGACGCUCAUGCACGAAAGCGUGGGGAGCAAACAGGAUUAGAUACCCUGGUAGUCC